Molecule: unclassified non-coding RNA, 326 nt
Filed under: soil metagenome
Description: partial contains 5.8S ribosomal RNA, internal transcribed spacer 2, and large subunit ribosomal RNA
Rfam family: 5.8S ribosomal RNA (bases 1-120)
Source: RNAcentral
GAUGAAGAACGUAGCGAAAUGCGAUAAGUAAUGUGAAUUGCAGAAUUCCGUGAAUCAUCGAAUCUUUGAACGCACAUUGCGCCCUCUGGUAUUCCGAGGGGCAUGCCUGUUCGAGCGUCAUAUUAACCACUCCCGCUUGCGGGGUCUUGGGCUUCGCCUCCGGGCGGGCCUUAAAAUCAGUGGCGGUGCCGUCGGGCUCUACGCGUAGUAAAUUUUCUCGCGAUAGGGUCCCGGUGGAUGCUUGCCAACAACCCCCAACUUCUUAAGGUUGACCUCGGAUCAGGUAGGGAUACCCGCUGAACUUAAGCAUAUCAAUAAGCGGAGGA